UACGGGGGGGGCAAGCGUUGUUCGGAAUUACUGGGCGUAAAGGGUUCGUAGGUGGCCAACUAAGUCAGACGUGAAAUCCCUCAGCUUAACUGGGGAACUGCGUCUGAUACUGGUUGGCUUGAGUGCAGGAGAGGAACGCGGAAUUCCAGGUGUAGCGGUGAAAUGCGUAGAUAUCUGGAGGAAUACCGGUGGCGAAGGCGGCAUCCUGGACCGACAUUGACGCUGAACGGCGAAAGCUAGGGGAGCAAACGGG
Molecule: ribosomal RNA, 253 nt
Filed under: uncultured bacterium
Lineage: Bacteria
Description: partial 16S ribosomal RNA
Rfam family: Bacterial small subunit ribosomal RNA
Source: RNAcentral